This 272-nucleotide unclassified non-coding RNA is filed under the name Hevea brasiliensis (rubber tree). The record is from RNAcentral. Lineage: Eukaryota; Viridiplantae; Streptophyta; Magnoliopsida; Malpighiales; Euphorbiaceae.
GCUAGGACUGAGACAAACUUUCAACCUAUGACUUGCCAAUUCCGCGCUACUAAACAAUUGAAACAGAAGCUGAUAGAUAGAAAGGCCAUUAAGAAAACAACGUGUUUGAAAUGGCCAAUGCUACCCAAAAGCCAGAAACAACAAGGACAGGCACCAAGCUACAACUUCAACACUUUCAGCAGCUGAAGUGUGAAGUGAGGUCCCACUACUGCAAUCACGUUUACUAUCACAUUUCACAUAAAUACAAAAACUAAGCCAUAAAAUUUACAAAU